Molecule: ribosomal RNA, 326 nt
Filed under: uncultured Sandonidae
Lineage: Eukaryota; Cercozoa; Glissomonadida; Viridiraptoridae
Description: SSU rRNA
Rfam family: Eukaryotic small subunit ribosomal RNA
Source: RNAcentral
GAUUUCUGGCUUGAAACAUUUUGCCGGCCACGGUUUCGUGUGUUAGUGCUUGAUGUUCUGGCCAUCCUUCCAAUCGCCAUCGGCCUUUUCUUCAUUGAACGGGUCGUCUUGGUAUUGGAUCUUUUACUUUGAAAAAAUUAGAGUGUUUCAAGCAGGCUUUAUGCUAUGAAUACAUUAGCAUGGAAUAAUAAUUUAGGACUUCGGUUCUAUUUUGUUGGUUUCUAGGACUGAAGUAAUGAUUGAUAGGGAUAGUUGGGGGUGCUAGUAUUCAGCGGCCAGAGGUGAAAUUCUCGGAUUCGCUGAAGACUAACUUAUGCGAAAGCAUU